Molecule: long non-coding RNA, 659 nt
Organism: Macrosteles quadrilineatus (aster leafhopper)
Lineage: Eukaryota; Metazoa; Arthropoda; Insecta; Hemiptera; Cicadellidae
Exons: 2
Source: RefSeq, a predicted model, not a curated record
GUCCUGUCAGGAGAAACUAAAGUGAAAGAAAACUGUAGCCUAAGGGUAAAUGACUGUUUUAUUUAAGCGUGAAUGCUAAUGCUAUUUAUGAUAAACUGAAAUUGUUAAUAUGGUUUUAUGAAGGUUUCGUCCUUAAAACAAGCCUAACUAAGAAUUUUAGUAUUUGAAAUCUAGGAAAAACCAACAUUUAUUCAUAAUUAGCCUAGGAAACGGUCGAGAGGACUUAGAUUCCCGGGUCCCGGGUCUGAAAGGGUUAACUUAAAGUUUCUUUACUUUCUUACCACUUCACUGACUUCACUCACUAAAGUAAAGUAGUGUUUGUGUUUAGUGUAGCAGCUUAGCCCGAUUAGUUUCGUCGUUUUCGUUUCGAAUUUCGAAAGUAAGAAAGAAACUUGAGAAAAGGAAACAGCACACCAGAAGAUAGUUGGCUACAAUAUUAUUUUAGAAAGUUCAUUUUAAAAAUUAAGUGCAGUUCAAGUUAGACCUAAAGGAAGCUAGGCUAGACUAUUCCCGACCAUACUAGGCCAGAAAAUUGUAGAUGAAUAACUGAACACGGUGAGCUUGUCGUCCAGCAUUAUUCCUAGGUACUUGAACAGAACCUGGAUCUGAUUACCGAAGAGAGUUGGUAUUCUAGUGAUAUGUAAUGGUACCAUUACAGU